CCUACGGGAGGCAGCAGUGAGGAAUAUUGGUCAAUGGGAGAGAUCCUGAACCAGCCAAGCCGCGUGAGGGAAGACGGCCCUAUGGGUUGUAAACCUCUUUUGUCGGAGAACAAAACCCGGGACGUGUCCCGGACUGCGUGUAUCCGAAGAAAAAGCAUCGGCAAACUCCGUGACCGGGGCCGAGGUAAUUCGGAGGAUGCGAGCGUUAUCCGGAUUUAUUGGGUUAAAGGGGGGCGUAGGCGAUCCGUUAAGUCAGCGGUAAAACUGCGGGGCUAAACCCCGUCGAGCCGUUGAAACUGGCAGACUUGAGUUGGCGAGAAGGACGCGGAAUGCGCGGUGUAGCGGUGAAAUGCAUAGAUAUCGCGAAGAACUCCGAUUGCGAAGGCAGCGUACCGGCGCCAGACUGACGCUGAGGCACGAAAGCGUGGGGAGCAAAUAGGAUUAGAUACCCCGGUAGUC
This 459-nucleotide ribosomal RNA is filed under the name uncultured bacterium. RNAcentral describes it as "partial 16S ribosomal RNA". It matches the Rfam family "Bacterial small subunit ribosomal RNA", at positions 338 to 795 of the family's 1533-position model. The record is from RNAcentral.